UACGGGGGGGGCAAGCGUUGUUCGGAAUUACUGGGCGUAAAGGGCUCGUAGGCGGCCAACUAAGUCGGACGUGAAAUCCCUCGGCUUAACCGGGGAACUGCGUCCGAUACUGGAUGGCUUGAGUUUGGGAGAGGGAUGCGGAAUUCCAGGUGUAGCGGUGAAAUGCGUAGAUAUCUGGAGGAACACCGGUGGCGAAGGCGGCAUCCUGGACCAACACUGACGCUGAGGAGCGAAAGCCAGGGGAGCAAACGGGAUUAGAAACCCCGGUAGUCC
RNAcentral lists this ribosomal RNA (273 nucleotides) under uncultured bacterium. RNAcentral's name for it is "partial 16S ribosomal RNA". It matches the Rfam family "Bacterial small subunit ribosomal RNA", at positions 524 to 796 of the family's 1533-position model. The record is from RNAcentral.